Molecule: transfer RNA, 76 nt
Filed under: Conchiformibius steedae
Lineage: Bacteria; Pseudomonadati; Pseudomonadota; Betaproteobacteria; Neisseriales; Neisseriaceae
Description: tRNA-Arg
Rfam family: tRNA
About the family: Transfer RNA (tRNA) molecules are approximately 80 nucleotides in length. Their secondary structure includes four short double-helical elements and three loops (D, anti-codon, and T loops).
Source: RNAcentral
GUACCCGUAGCUCAGUUGGAAGAGCAUCAGUUUCCGAAGCUGAAGGUCGCCGGUUCGAACCCAGUCGGGUGCGCCA